CAAAAAUCCAGUCGACCUCACCGAAAAUACACUUUAUAUAGUAACAUUACCUGCUCGCUACUUGUUCCAUUAUCACAAGAGGUCUCAACAGGAGAUCCGGGGGCCUCCUCUUUCCAGGCCACAGUGAGGAGCUCCGUCUGCCAGCCCUGGUCCCUGCUCCGGCUCUGCUCCCAUACUGGCCGUAGCAGCACUCCAGCCUCCUGCCAUAGCGACACACACCUGCUUGGUUUCCAGUAAGGACUUGUCGGUAGUGCCUUCUUAGAAAGAAAGAGGAGGAGGAAAAGGUUUUGCCAGAACCAGGGCUCCGCGGCAGGUGUCCUCGGCCACUCCACCACGCUUUGCUCGCACAGCCUCCUCCUCAGACGCAGGAAGUGAGAGUGCUGCAGCACGGGCUCCAGCAUCAGCACCA
Acanthopagrus latus (yellowfin seabream) is the source of this 409-nucleotide long non-coding RNA. RefSeq lists it as uncharacterized. The record is from RefSeq and is a predicted model, not a curated record. Lineage: Eukaryota; Metazoa; Chordata; Actinopteri; Spariformes; Sparidae. The transcript has 4 exons.